This 253-nucleotide ribosomal RNA is filed under the name uncultured bacterium. Its description in RNAcentral is "partial 16S ribosomal RNA". It matches the Rfam family "Bacterial small subunit ribosomal RNA", at positions 524 to 776 of the family's 1533-position model. The record is from RNAcentral.
UACGUAGGGGGCGAGCGUUGUCCGGAUUUAUUGGGCGUAAAGAGCGUGUUGGCGGUUCGGUAAGUCUGUCGUGAAAUCCUGAGGCUCAACCUCGGGCGUGCGAUGGAUACUGCCGGGCUAGAGGGUGGUAGAGGCGAGUGGAAUUCCCGGUGUAGCGGUGAAAUGCGCAGAUAUCGGGAGGAACACCAGUAGCGAAGGCGGCUCGCUGGGCCACACCUGACGCUGAGACGCGAAAGCUAGGGGAGCGAACAGG